Molecule: non-coding RNA, 759 nt
Filed under: Plasmodium falciparum Dd2
Lineage: Eukaryota; Apicomplexa; Aconoidasida; Haemosporida; Plasmodiidae
Description: Bacterial large subunit ribosomal RNA
Rfam family: Bacterial large subunit ribosomal RNA
Source: Rfam by way of RNAcentral
AUAAUAAAAUUUAAUUUUAAUUUUAUUAUAUUCUUGUUGAAGAAAGAAUUAGCAAGUUAUAAUAAAUAGUAUAAUAAUUAGGUUAAAUAUAUUUAAAUAAUGAAGCCAAAGUUAAAUCGAAUUUAUUUUUUUAAUAAAUUUAAAAUAUAUUAUUUAUUAUAGACCCGAAAUCAAAUGAUCUAAUUAUAUUUAAAAUAAAAUUUAAAUAAAAUUAAAUUAUAGUUUGAAUUGAUUACUGUUGCAAAAGUAUCAAAUAAAAUAUAAUUAGUGGUGAAAUGCCAAUCGAAUUUGAAGAUAGCUGGUUCUCUUUGAAAUAUAUGUAAGUAUAGUAUUUAUAUAUAAAUAAAUGUAAAACUCUUUUUUUAUUAGAUUAAUUUAAAUAAUUAAUAUUAAUAUUAAUAAUUUAAUAAUUUUAUUUAAUAAAAUAUAUAUAUUAUUAGAAAAUAAAGGAUAAGCUUUAUUUUCAAAAGGGAAACAGCCCUAAUUAUAGAUUAAGAUUUUUAAAUAUUAGUUAAGUUUUAAAAAGAAUCUAACAUUAUAUUAAUAAUUGAAAGGUAAAUUUAGAAGCAGUAUCUUUUAAAGAGUGCGUGAAAGCUCAUUAAUUUUACUCAGUGUAGUUCACACAUAAUCGAGAAGAAAUUAAUUAUCGAGAGUAUAAAAUUUAAUAUGAGUACGAUUAAAAUGGGGAAGAAGAGCGGUUUGAUAAAAAAUGAAUUUAUAUGUCAGUUAAGUUAUGAAGAGCAACGGGAAAAUGCUAAU